This is an RNA transcript of Anas platyrhynchos (mallard), 809 nucleotides long. It is a transcript of the gene named prolactin releasing hormone, with no coding region annotated. The record is from RefSeq and is a predicted model, not a curated record. NCBI's taxonomy places the organism in Eukaryota, Metazoa, Chordata, Aves, Anseriformes, Anatidae.
UAUGGCCCCUUAUGAGUCACGAAAAUCCCUUCCCUGAUUUGAUGAGCGCCGAGCGCAGGGGGCGGCGGGGAGGGGAGAGGAGAGGAGAGGAGAUGCCCCGGCUCUGUCCCCGCCGGGGCUGGCCUCUGACAUCAGCACGAAACCGGGCAUAAAAGCGGCGUCCCGGGGGACUCCGGCUCGGAGGGUGAGCGGGACGGCACCGGGCACCUUGCCUCGAACCACGCUCCCCCUGGGACAGGGAUGAGCAGGGUGCUCCGUGCCCCUUGCAUCCCUUUAUUGUCCCGACAGGGCUGGAUUUCCCCAGGGCCACCAGCCGGAGGGGACGCGCUGUCUCCAUCACCACCCGGAGCAAACCCCGCGGUUUUCUCUCUGUCCCACCGCCAUCCCUUUGCUCCCGCAGCCACCUCAGGGAUCGCCGUCGCCGUGUCCUCGGGCUGAGCCGUCGUAACGGGGGGGGGGAAAAAAUCCUUCUGGGGAUGAAGCUGGGGGCCGCCUGCCUCGUGUGCCUGCUGCUCGCCUGCCUGGCCCUGCCCGCCGCCACCACCCACGUGCGCUCCAUGGCAAUCAGGAGUAAGGAGAGCAGCAGUAAGGGACUCCCCCGAGACACCCCCAGCGCCCUGCACCCCCAGCCCCUCGCCCUCAAUCCGGGGGGGACGGAGGGAGGGGGCCGGCGUGCAGACCCGGACAUCGACCCCUCGUGGUACACCGGCCGCGGGAUCAGGCCGGUGGGGAGAUUCGGGCGACGGCGAGCCCUGGGAGAAGGCACCCAGCUGGGGGGGGGCAGCUUGCGGCCAGCCUGUGCCCCUCUG